GCCCCCCUACGGGGCGCAGCAGUGGGGGAUAUUGGACAAUGGGGGGAACCCUGAUCCAGCGACGCCGCGUGAGUGAAGAAGUAUUUCGGUAUGUAAAGCUCUGUCAGCAGGGAAGAAAGAAAUGACGGUACCUGACCAAGAAGCCCCGGCUAACUACGUGCCAGCAGCCGCGGUAAUACGUAGGGGGCAAGCGUUAUCCGGAAUUACUGGGUGUAAAGGGAGCGUAGACGGCAGCGCAAGUCUGGAGUGAAAUGCCGGGGCCCAACCCCGGAACUGCUCUGGAAACUGUGAAGCUGGAGUGCAGG
This 305-nucleotide ribosomal RNA is filed under the name uncultured bacterium. RNAcentral describes it as "bacterial SSU rRNA". It matches the Rfam family "Bacterial small subunit ribosomal RNA", at positions 333 to 652 of the family's 1533-position model. The record is from RNAcentral.